UACUCCUACGGGAGGCAGCAGUGGGGAAUAUUGGACAAUGGGCGCAAGCCUGAUCCAGCCAUACCGCGUGGGUGAAGAAGGCCUUCGGGUUGUAAAGCCCUUUUGUUGGGAAAGAAAAGCAUUCGGUUAAUACCCGGGUGUUCUGACGGUACCCAAAGAAUAAGCACCGGCUAACUUCGUGCCAGCAGCCGCGGUAAUACGAAGGGUGCAAGCGUUACUCGGAAUUACUGGGCGUAAAGCGUGCGUAGGUGGUGGUUUAAGUCCGUUGUGAAAGCCCUGGGCUCAACCUGGGAAUUGCAGUGGAUACUGGGUCACUAGAGUGUGGUAGAGGAUAGUGGAAUUUCCGGUGUAGCAGUGAAAUGCGUAGAGAUCGGAAGGAACACCUGUGGCGAAGGCGACUAUCUGGGCCAACACUGACACUGAGGCACGAAAGCGUGGGGAGCAAACAGGAUUAGACACCCUGGUAGUCCACGCCCUAAACGAUGCGAACUGGAUGUUGGGUUCAACUUGGAACCCAGUAUCGAAGCUAACGCGUUAAGUUCGCCGCCUGGGGAGUACGGUCGCAAGACUGAAACUCAAAGGAAUUGACGGGGGCCCGCACAAGCGGUGGAGUAUGUGGUUUAAUUCGAUGCAACGCGAAGAACCUUACCUGGUCUUGACACCCACGGAACUUUCCAGAGAUGGAUUGGUGCCUUCGGGAACCGUGAGACAGGUGCUGCAUGGCUGUCGUCAGCUCGUGUCGUGAGAUGUUGGGUUAAGUCCCGCAACGAGCGCNACCCUUGUCCUUAGUUGCCAGCACGUAAAGGUGGGAACUCUAANGAGACCGCCGGUGACAAACCGGAGGANNNGGGGAUGACGUCAAGUCAUCAUGGCCCUUACGACCAGGGCUACACACGUACUACAAUGGUCNG
RNAcentral lists this ribosomal RNA (911 nucleotides) under uncultured bacterium. RNAcentral describes it as "bacterial SSU rRNA". It matches the Rfam family "Bacterial small subunit ribosomal RNA", at positions 334 to 1237 of the family's 1533-position model. The record is from RNAcentral.